AAGGUCCCAGCAGUUCGCUGGUGCUGGAAAAAGACAUUCAGGGGGAAGCCUGGCACCAGAUGUGUACCGUGACUUACCAUAAGCCCUGAAACGCUGCUGCUACUCCAUCGUGUGAACUUUUUCUGAGUCGGGCUGGCGCCCAGCAGCAGUCUCUGGGCAUCCGCAGCAGCAUGGUCCCGCGAACGCUCCUGGGUGUGGCAGGCAUCCCGUGACUGCUCGACUACAAAGUGGUUCACAGUUUGACUCCUAGGGGAAAACGAAGGAAUUUCAAUCUCAUUUCAGUCUGUUUGCUGGUCCAUCUAGUCAAAUAAAAAAAUUUUUUUGUUUCUUUUCUUUUUCUUGAA
Suricata suricatta (meerkat) is the source of this 344-nucleotide long non-coding RNA. RefSeq lists it as uncharacterized. The transcript has 2 exons. NCBI's taxonomy places the organism in Eukaryota, Metazoa, Chordata, Mammalia, Carnivora, Herpestidae. The record is from RefSeq and is a predicted model, not a curated record.